GACGAACGCUGGCGGCGUGCCUAAUACAUGCAAGUCGAACGAGAGCGACCGGUGCUUGCACUGGUCAAUCUAGUGGCGAACGGGUGAGUAACACGUGGGUAACCUGCCCAUCAGAGGGGGAUAACAUCCGGAAACGGAUGCUAAAACCGCAUAGGUCUUCGAGCCGCAUGGCUUGAAGAGGAAAAGCGGCGCAAGCUUCUGCUGAUGGAUGGACCCGCGGUGCAUUAGCUAGUUGGUGAGGUAACGGCUCACCAAGGCCGUGAUGCAUAGCCGACCUGAGAGGGUGAUCGGCCACAUUGGGACUGAGACACGGCCCAAACUCCUACGGGAGGCAGCAGUAGGGAAUCUUCCGCAAUGGACGCAAGUCUGACGGAGCAACGCCGCGUGAGUGAAGAAGGUUUUCGGAUCGUAAAACUCUGUUGUUAGAGAAGAACAAGUGCUAGAGUAACUGUUAGCGCCUUGACGGUACCUAACCAGAAAGCCACGGCUAACUACGUG
RNAcentral lists this ribosomal RNA (498 nucleotides) under uncultured bacterium. RNAcentral describes it as "partial 16S ribosomal RNA". It matches the Rfam family "Bacterial small subunit ribosomal RNA", at positions 28 to 507 of the family's 1533-position model. The record is from RNAcentral.